Non-coding RNA from Pelobates cultripes (western spadefoot toad), 661 nucleotides. NCBI's taxonomy places the organism in Eukaryota, Metazoa, Chordata, Amphibia, Anura, Pelobatidae. The record is from the annotation of a GenBank genome assembly.
CUUUAUGUGAGAAGAUUGCUUGGCAAGUUGUCCCUAGGUAAAUUUAAAUUAAGAUACCCGUUAUAGAUACAAGUUGCAUUUUCAACAAUAUGAUUUUGUGGGCAUAUGACAUAGGUAGAGUUGUAUUUCUGGACCUUAGAGUGGCCUGGUUCAACGUAAAGUAGGAACUUGUAAGUAACAGGGAUAACUAGACAUAUAGUUCAGGCCAGAGAGGAACACAAAAAACAGAAAAUAAUACCGGACAAAAAAUACAGGCUGGUAUAGGAUCAAACAGGACAAAAUCAGGAUUACAAACAGGUAGAUGAACAAACCAGUCUAGUACACAAAUACAGAAGGUCAAGACUUGUCAAAUAAUAAGCUAGGUCAAAAACAGGAACUCAAUCACGAUAAACAUACUAAUGGCUCAGGAACCACAAAAGCAACCAGAGCAGCCAGAGAGCUUUCUUUAAAUAGGGAUGUUCUGAAAGUGAUCGGCUUUGCUUCCUGGGAGUAACCAGUUUGAAGAUUUUAUGUUCUGUGUUGCCCGCAGAACACAAAACAAACAGUAAUUGGAUGGGAAGUAACCAGUACACUUUCUGAAAUCUUCCCAGGGGGAGCAGUUUCUACUGUGGCACAGCAUGCAAUGUGCAACGCCAAAAACUGGGAAACAAGCGGCUCAAAU